GUGUCAGCAGCCGCGGUAAGACGAACCGCCCGAACGUUGUUCGGAAUCACUGGGCUUAAAGGGAGCGUAGGCGGGCUGCCAAGUCCGGGGUGAAAUCCUCCAGCUUAACUGGAGAACUGCCUCGGAUACUGGAAGUCUCGAGGAGGGUAGGGGCAAGUGGAACCGUGGGUGGAGCGGUGAAAUGCGUUGAUAUCCAUGGGAACUCCGGUGGCGAAGGCGACUUGCUGGACCCUUUCUGACGCUGAGGCUCGAAAGCCAGGGGAGCAAACGGGAUUAGAAACCCGGGUAGUCC
This 292-nucleotide ribosomal RNA is filed under the name uncultured bacterium. RNAcentral describes it as "partial 16S ribosomal RNA". It matches the Rfam family "Bacterial small subunit ribosomal RNA", at positions 505 to 796 of the family's 1533-position model. The record is from RNAcentral.